GUAUUGGUGGUUCAGUAGCAGAAUUCUCACCUUCCGUGUGAGAGGCCUGGGUUUGAUUCCUGGCCAACGCA
Molecule: transfer RNA, 71 nt
Filed under: Loxodonta africana (African savanna elephant)
Lineage: Eukaryota; Metazoa; Chordata; Mammalia; Proboscidea; Elephantidae
Rfam family: tRNA
About the family: Transfer RNA (tRNA) molecules are approximately 80 nucleotides in length. Their secondary structure includes four short double-helical elements and three loops (D, anti-codon, and T loops).
Source: Rfam by way of RNAcentral